Molecule: ribosomal RNA, 229 nt
Filed under: uncultured bacterium
Lineage: Bacteria
Description: partial 16S ribosomal RNA
Rfam family: Bacterial small subunit ribosomal RNA
Source: RNAcentral
UGCGCAGGCGGAAAAGUAAGUCAGUGGUGAAAUCUCUCGGCUCAACCGAGAAACUGCCAUUGAUACUGCUUAUCUAGAGUUUAGUUGAAGUGGGCGGGAUGUAGCAUGUAGCGGUGAAAUGCAUAGAGAUGCUACAGAACACCGAUUGCGAAGGCAGCUCACUAAGCUAAAACUGACGCUCAGGCACGAAAGCGUGGGGAUCAAACAGGAUUAGAUACCCUGGUAGUCC